RNAcentral lists this ribosomal RNA (457 nucleotides) under uncultured Comamonadaceae bacterium. RNAcentral describes it as "bacterial SSU rRNA". It matches the Rfam family "Bacterial small subunit ribosomal RNA", at positions 346 to 795 of the family's 1533-position model. The record is from RNAcentral. Lineage: Bacteria; Pseudomonadati; Pseudomonadota; Betaproteobacteria; Burkholderiales; Comamonadaceae.
UGGCUGCAGUGGGGAAUUUUGGACAAUGGGCGAAAGCCUGAUCCAGCAAUACCGCGUGCAGGAAGAAGGCCUUCGGGUUGUAAACUGCUUUUGUACGGAACGAAAAGGUCUGGGUUAAUACCCUGGGCUCAUGACGGUACCGUAAGAAUAAGCACCGGCUAACUACGUGCCAGCAGCCGCGGUAAUACGUAGGGUGCAAGCGUUAAUCGGAAUUACUGGGCGUAAAGCGUGCGCAGGCGGUUAUGUAAGACAGGCGUGAAAUCCCCGGGCUCAACCUGGGAAUUGCGCUUGUGACUGCAUAACUAGAGUACGGUAGAGGGGGAUGGAAUUCCGCGUGUAGCAGUGAAAUGCGUAGAUAUGCGGAGGAACACCAAUGGCGAAGGCAGUCCCCUGGACCUGUACUGACGCUCAUGCACGAAAGCGUGGGGAGCAAACAGGAUUAGAUACCCCUGUAGUC